RNAcentral lists this ribosomal RNA (209 nucleotides) under Lactarius deterrimus. RNAcentral describes it as "partial 28S ribosomal RNA". The stretch from base 50 to 209 matches the Rfam family "Eukaryotic large subunit ribosomal RNA", at positions 1 to 158 of the family's 3401-position model. The record is from RNAcentral. Lineage: Eukaryota; Fungi; Basidiomycota; Agaricomycetes; Russulales; Russulaceae.
UUUGGGCGUGUCUCCCUUCUCGGGAGACUCUCUCAACCCCACGAACCCUUGACCUCAAAUCGGGUGAGACUACCCGCUGAACUUAAGCAUAUCAAUAAGCGGAGGAAAAGAAACUAACAAGGAUUCCCCUAGUAACUGCGAGUGAAGCGGGAAAAGCUCAAAUUUAAAAUCUGGCGGUCUCUGGCCGUCCGAGUUGUAAUUUAGAGAAG